GUUUGAAGUACCACACUGAGGUGAGGACUUAAAAAUGAUAAGACGAGUUCCCUAUUUUAUAAGAAAAAUAAGCCAAAAUUAAAUAUUCUUUUGGAUAUAAAUUUCAACAGUGAGAUAGCUGCCUAGUGGAAAUGAAUAAUAUCCCAGCCACUAGUGUACAGGGUGUUUUGUGGCACAGGAUUAUGUAAUAUGGAACUGCUCAAGCAAAUAACUAGUCAUCACAACAGCAGUUCUUUGUAAUAACUGAAAAAGAAUAUUGUUUCUCGGAGAAGGAUGUCAAAAGAUCGGCCCAGCUCAGGGAGCAGUUUGCCCUACUAGCUCCUCGGACAGCUGUAAGAAGAGUCUCUGGCUCUUUAGAAUACUGAUCCCAUUGAAGAUACCACGCUGCAUGUGUCCUUAGUAGUCAUGUCUCCUUAGGCUCCUCUUGGACAUUCUGAGCAUGUGAGACCUGAGGACUGCAAACAGCUAUAAGAGGCUCCAAAUUCAUCAUAUCUUUCCCUUUGAGAAUCUGGCCAAGCUCCAGCUAAUCUACUUGGAUGGGUUGCCAGCUAUCUGGAGAAAAAGGUUGGUAGCCAGAAUAUAACAGCUCCGCACAACUGUAAAUGUCCACUCUUCAAUCCACAUGAAGAAAAGGAUCUUCCUCAGAAGAAUAGGCUUGUUGCUUUACAGUGUUAGUGAUCCAUUCCCUUUGACGAUCCCUAGGUGGAGAUGGGGCAUGAGGAUCCUCCAGGGGAAAAGCUCACUACCACUGGGCAACAACCCUAGGUCAGGAGGUUCUGUCAAGAUACUUUCCUGGUCCCAGAUAGGAAGAUAAAGUCUCAAAAACAACCACCACACGUCAAGCUCUUCAUUGUUCCUACCUGCCAAAUCAUUAUACUUCCUACAAGCAGUGCAGAGAGCUGAGUCUUCAGCAGGUCCAAGAAAUUUGAACACACUGAAGGAAGUCAGCCUUCCCACCUGAAGAUCAACAUGCCUGGCACUCUAGCACUUGAGGAUAGCUGAAUGAAUGUGUCUUACCCAUUUCCAUGUUUCUCUUGCUAAUUUCUUUCGUGUGUGCCUUUGCCUCAUUUUCUCUUUUUGUUCACAAGAGUGGUCUGUGUCUUGUCUUAGACAUAUCUCUCAUUUUUCAUUUUGUUGCUAUUUCUCUUUGCUCUCCUAGAUGUGGCUCUUCUUUCACGCUUUAUUUCAUGUCUCCUUUUUGGGUCACAUGCUGUGUGCUUUUUGUCCUUUUCUUGUUCUGUCUACCUCUCCUUUCUCUGCCUACCUCUCUUUUCUCUUUGUGAACUGUGAUUAUUUGUUACCCCUUCCCCUUCUCGUUCGUUUUAAAUUUCACCUUUUUUCUGAGUCUGGCCUCCUUUCUGCUGUUUCUACUUUUUAUCUCACAUUUCUCAUUUCUGCAUUUCCUUUCUGCCUCUCUUGGGCUAUUCUCUCUCUCCUCCCCUGCGUGCCUCAGCAUCUCUUGCUGUUUGUGAUUUUCUAUUUCAGUAUUAAUCUCUGUUGGCUUGUAUUUGUUCUCUGCUUCUUCCCUUUCUACUCACCUUUGAGUAUUUCAGCCUCUUCAUGAAUCUAUCUCCCUCUCUUUGAUUUCAUGUAAUCUCUCCUUAAAUAUUUCUUUGCAUAUGUGGGCAAGUGUACGUGUGUGUGUGUCAUGUGUGGCAGAGGGGCUUCCUAACCCCUGCCUGAUAGGUGCAGAACGUCGGCUAUCAGAGCAAGCAUUGUGGAGCGGUUCCUUAUGCCAGGCUGCCAUGUGAGAUGAUCCAAGACCAAAACAAGGCCCUAGGCUGCAGUAAAACCCAAAACUCAAGUAGGGCAGAAGGUGGAAGGCUCAUAUGGAUAGAAGGCCCAAAGUAUAAGACAGAUGGUUUGAGACUUGAGACCCGAGGACUAAGAUGGAAAGCCCAUGUUCCAAGAUAGAUAGAAGCCUCAGGCCUGAAACCAACAAAAGCCUCAAGAGCCAAGAAAACAGAGGGUGGCCUGAAUUGGACCGAAGGCCUGAGUUGGAUGGAAGUCUCAAGGCUUGAGUUAGAAGUCUUAAGACCUGGGACAGGACACAUGGAAGGCCUAAGAACUGAGACUUGUGACACAAGGCCAACGAUCUAAGAUUAGCCCAGGGUUGUAGCUGGAAGACCUACAACCCAAGGAUGGAAGGCCCCUGUCACAAAGCCUACCUAGAUGGAUAGAGGACCCAAGCGAAAAAGGUAUCUCAAGACUAAAGGCUGGAAUCUGGAGGCCCAUGACCCAGAACCCAGGAAGGAUAGAAGCUUGAAGACCUGGGGAAAUCCCAAGAUGAGAACCCUAAACCCUACCUCUUUUCUAUUGUUUACACUUCUUACUCUUAGAUAUUUCCAGUUCUCCUGUUUAUCUUUAAGCCUGAUUCUUUUGAGAUGUACUUUUUGAUGUUGCCGGUUACCUUUAGAUUGACAGUAUUAUGCCUGGGCCAGUCUUGAGCCAGCUUUAAAUCACAGCUUUUACCUAUUUGUUAGGCUAUAGUGUUUUGUAAACUUCUGUUUCUAUUCACAUCUUCUCCACUUGAGAGAGACACCAAAAUCCAGUCAGUAUCUAAUCUGGCUUUUGUUAACUUCCCUCAGGAGCAGGCAUUCAUAUAGGUGAUACUGUAUUUCAGUCCUUUCUUUUGACCCCAGAAGCCCUAGACUGAGAAGAUAAAAUGGUCAGGUUGUUGGGGGAAAAAAAGUGCCAGGCUCUCUAGAGAAAAAUGUGAAGAGAUGCUCCAGGCCAAUGAGAAGAAUUAGACAAGAAAUACACAGAUGUGCCAGACUUCUGAGAAGCACCUGCCAGCAACAGCUUCCUUCUUUGAGCUUAGUCCAUCCCUCAUGAAAAAUGACUGACCACUGCUGGGCAGCAGGAGGGAUGAUGACCAACUAAUUCCCAAACCCCAGUCUCAUUGGUACCAGCCUUGGGAAACCACCCACACUUGAGCCACAAUUGGUUUUGAAGUGCAUUUACAAGUUUCUGGCAUCACUACCACUACUGAUUAAACAAGAAUAAGAGAACAUUUUAUCAUCAUCUGCUUUAUUCACAUAAAUGAAGUUGUGAUGAAUAAAUCUGCUUUUAUGCAGACACAAGGAAUUAAGUGGCUUCGUCAUUGUCCUUCUACAUCAAAGAUAAUUUAUUCCAAAAGCUAAGAUAAAUGGAAGACUCUUGAACUUGUGAACUGAUGUGAAAUGCAGAAUCUCUUUUGAGUCUUUGCUGUUUGGAAGAUUGAAAAAUAUUGUUCGGCAUGGGUGACCACCAGAAAGUAAUCUUAAGCCAUCUAGAUGUCACAAUUGAAACAAACUGGGG
RNAcentral lists this long non-coding RNA (3300 nucleotides) under Pan troglodytes (chimpanzee). RNAcentral's name for it is "long non-coding RNA NONPTRT018487". The stretch from base 639 to 764 matches the Rfam family "X-chromosome inactivation gene exon 4". The record is from RNAcentral. Lineage: Eukaryota; Metazoa; Chordata; Mammalia; Primates; Hominidae.